This is a non-coding RNA of Pelobates cultripes (western spadefoot toad), 676 nucleotides long. The record is from the annotation of a GenBank genome assembly. NCBI's taxonomy places the organism in Eukaryota, Metazoa, Chordata, Amphibia, Anura, Pelobatidae.
CUUUAAGCUCGAAACGAACCCCUGAAUCCCCAGCCGGGUGGACGGCUCCUGUUGCGCCCAGCCCCUCCAAAAACUCUAGGGGAAAACACCCUCUUCAUAUUGGCUUGGGCCUUGUCAAUGGCGGUGAAUGUCUUCACAUAAGAUCCCAAGUCUUUGACAAAGUUGUCGCCAAACAACAUUCCCUCAGCCGAGGGACCUGGUUGGGAUAUGGCCAUGCUAGCCAAUUUUGGGUCAAUUUUGAGCAGGAUAGCUUUCCUGCGCUCGGCGGACACGGCCAUAUUGGCAUUGCCAAGCAGACAAAUGGCACCAAAUGGUACCCAGCCAAUCGCUACAUCCAGGUCAAGUUCUGACUUGCCCGAUCUGGCGGACUCUAACAGCUCAUAGGCCUUUGACAGUGGACCAAGAGUGUCCAUUAUUUUGUCCUGGCAACUCCUCAGGGAAAAGUCUAGGCCUUUUUUAUGGUUUCCAGCCCGAUUUAUUGAGAAACUGUGCGAUCUGUGGAUCGACUUUGGGUGUCUUGCAUGCAGAUCCUGGCACUGAGGGUCUAGGGCAUUCUGCCCGCAGUUUACUGCGACCCUCCUUAGAAAGUGGCCUGCGCAAUAUAACGGGCAAUAUGCUCGGGUGGUUCCCACUCACCUGAGCGGGGAUGACGCAGGUCAUCCGGAUCAAACAGCGC